This 483-nucleotide ribosomal RNA is filed under the name uncultured bacterium. Its description in RNAcentral is "partial 16S ribosomal RNA". The record is from RNAcentral.
GUAGUUAGCCGUGGCUUCCUCCUUAGGUACCGUCAUUAUCGUCCCUAAAGACAGAGCUUUACAAUCCGAAGACCUUCUUCCCUCACGCGGCGUCGCUGGGUCAGGGUUUCCCCCAUUGCCCAAUAUUCCCCACUGCUGCCUCCCGUAGGAGUCUGGACCGUAUCUCAGUUCCAGUGUGGCCGGCCUGCCUCUCAGCACGGCUACCCAUCACAGGUUUGGUGAGCCGUUACCUCACCAACUGCCUAAUGGGACGCGAGCCCUCCCUGAAGCGGAUUUCUCCUUUGACCUCUCUAUGAUGCCAUAGCGUGGUCUUACGCGGUAUUAGCACUGAUUUCUCAGUGUUGUCCCCCUNUUCAGGACCGGUUGCUCACGCGUUACUCACCCGUCCGCCACUAGGUUCGGGAGCAAGCUCCCUCCCCUCGUUCGACUUGCAUGUGUUAAGCGCGCCGCCAGCGUUCGUCCUGAGCCAUAAUCAAACUCUGA